GGGCGAUUAGCUCAGUUGGUAGAGCAGCUGACUCUUAAUCAGCGGGUCCACAGUUCGAGCCUGUGAUCGCCCA
This 73-nucleotide transfer RNA is filed under the name Afipia sp. P52-10. It matches the Rfam family "tRNA". Rfam says of the family: Transfer RNA (tRNA) molecules are approximately 80 nucleotides in length. Their secondary structure includes four short double-helical elements and three loops (D, anti-codon, and T loops). The record is from Rfam by way of RNAcentral. Lineage: Bacteria; Pseudomonadati; Pseudomonadota; Alphaproteobacteria; Hyphomicrobiales; Nitrobacteraceae.